Molecule: non-coding RNA, 30 nt
Filed under: Rattus norvegicus (Norway rat)
Lineage: Eukaryota; Metazoa; Chordata; Mammalia; Rodentia; Muridae
Source: RNAcentral
UCUAAAGUCAAACCACCCCCUCCAGAUGCU